AUUGAACGCUGGCGGCAGGCUUAACACAUGCAAGUCGAGCGGGGUGAUGGUGCUUGCACUAUCACUUAGCGGCGGACGGGUGAGUAAUGCUUAGGAAUCUGCCUAUUAGUGGGGGACAACAUCUCGAAAGGGAUGCUAAUACCGCAUACGUCCUACGGGAGAAAGCAGGGGAUCACUUGUGACCUUGCGCUAAUAGAUGAGCCUAAGUCGGAUUAGCUAGUUGGUGGGGUAAAGGCCUACCAAGGCGACGAUCUGUAGCGGGUCUGAGAGGAUGAUCCGCCACACUGGGACUGAGACACGGCCCAGACUCCUACUGGAGGCAGCAGUGGGGAAUAUUGGACAAUGGGGGGAACCCUGAUCUAGCCAUGCCGCGUGUGUGAAGAAGGCCUUAUGGUUGUAAAGCACUUUAAGCGAGGAGGAGGCUCUUUUGGUUAAUACCCAAGAUGAGUGGACGUUACUCGCAGAAUAAGCACCGGCUAACUCUGUGCCAGCAGCCACCGUAA
RNAcentral lists this ribosomal RNA (503 nucleotides) under uncultured bacterium. Its description in RNAcentral is "partial 16S ribosomal RNA". It matches the Rfam family "Bacterial small subunit ribosomal RNA", at positions 30 to 523 of the family's 1533-position model. The record is from RNAcentral.